CAGUUGCAGAGAAAUAUUUUUACUGUACUAUAUAAUACAGAUAUUUUUUCUUUAUUUAUACUGCUAACAUCAUUAUUAUUUCAACUGCUAUGUAUGUGUUCAUGGGUGUGUGUGUAUAUAUAUAGACUGUUAGACAUUUACAUUAUACAAUUGAUCUGCAAGCACAAAAGCACAUGGGUCAACACUUGAGUCCUUUACCCUGGUGUGUAAUAUAUACAGGCAGGGGCUGUAACAUUUACCCAGGUUGUUGAUAUUCUUGUUUAACCAAGUGUGUUUAUUUAAGAUUAUAUAUUGUUUAGGAUCUCUCCUGGACAGGCUCCUUCUGUGUUUCUUAAGUAAACAGUAAAAAAUAAAUAAUAAGCUCAUCCUUGUUUUAUUUGUUGAUCCAAGCCAACGUAUACAGGUGACGUCACAUUCAGAUCUCCUCAUUUGUAUUCUGCUCCAAACUUGUUAUCCAUAUUUUAAAUUUCUAUUAUUAAGUAUAAUAAAGGAAAAGGAAUAAAUCUGUUGGUUAUUAAUGUUCAUUUUGAG
This 531-nucleotide long non-coding RNA is filed under the name Penaeus merguiensis. Its description in RNAcentral is "partial lncVP14". Lineage: Eukaryota; Metazoa; Arthropoda; Malacostraca; Decapoda; Penaeidae. The record is from RNAcentral.